GACUGAGGCAUCAUUGUCCUAUGUACAAUGUAUCUUGUAUCUUCUUCAAUAAAUGUCUCUAUUUUCCAUAUUACAUUGCCAGAUACAAACGUACAGGAUCUGGACAGACCCCGUACAUUUACUAGAUGGGAGCCCACAUGCAGACCACGUCCUGAUGAAACAGGCCCACGGUUACGAGCACUCCCCCUGUUCCCGGGAGGGGAGGUUCCA
Phyllostomus discolor (pale spear-nosed bat) is the source of this 210-nucleotide long non-coding RNA. RefSeq lists it as uncharacterized. NCBI's taxonomy places the organism in Eukaryota, Metazoa, Chordata, Mammalia, Chiroptera, Phyllostomidae. The record is from RefSeq and is a predicted model, not a curated record. The transcript is spliced from 3 exons.